This 253-nucleotide ribosomal RNA is filed under the name uncultured bacterium. RNAcentral's name for it is "partial 16S ribosomal RNA". It matches the Rfam family "Bacterial small subunit ribosomal RNA", at positions 524 to 776 of the family's 1533-position model. The record is from RNAcentral.
GACAGAGGCCCCAAGCGUUAGGCGGAAUCACUGGGCUUAAAGCGUGUGUAGGCGGACGCCUAAGUGUCUUGUGAAAUCCCACGGCUCACCCGUGGAGCUGCUGGGCAUACUGGGCGUCUUGGGCCAACUAGGGGCAGCCGGAACAAGCGGUGGAGCGGUGAAAUGCGUAGAUAUCGCUUGGAACGCCGAAGGUGAAAACAGGCUGCUGGGGUUGCGCCGACGCUGAGACACGAAAGCCAGGGGAGCAAACGGG